This is a long non-coding RNA of Oenanthe melanoleuca, 1388 nucleotides long. RefSeq lists it as uncharacterized. The record is from RefSeq and is a predicted model, not a curated record. The transcript is spliced from 6 exons. NCBI's taxonomy places the organism in Eukaryota, Metazoa, Chordata, Aves, Passeriformes, Muscicapidae.
AUCCCUUUUCACACCUUCCCUUUCCAAAUAACCAACCUGCCUCUAUUUAAUUUUCACCCACAGGGCUCAGUUUUGUUGAUUUGACCUCAGUGGCAGCCAACAAAUCAGCACCUCCCUAUCUCUUGGGGUUUCACCUAAAUGGAGUUUCCAAUGCUCCUGUUUCAUUUCCUGAAAUGCCUAGUCGUUUUUUCUGGUUCCUGUUGGAUUACUGCAGUCCCAGUGUGCUCAAAACUAGCCACUUAAUUUGACCAAAAGUGAUGGAUGAAGUUCUCCUGAGUCAUCUCUGAACACUGGAAUGGCUGUGUGAGAAAGAGUAAGGAAGCGCAUUAACUGAGCAUGGCCACACUCUUGAGGGAGUAUGUUGUCACCAGUCUGUAUCUUCUCCCAGCUUUCCAGUGCACCAGUGUUAGCAGAUCCCUGUUGGAGCAAAAGAGGCACAAGAGCCCUGGGGCACCUGGAGUACAGCCUUGAGGUCCCACAGCAGCACAUAGCACAUCUGCCAGAGCUCUGCUGCUCACUUUGCAGCCUGCUGGGUGUUUGUUACCUCUUCCCAGAAACAAUCUUCUUUCUGUGGAGAAGAAAGAUGUUUUAAAUUCCAAACAUUGUAAGGCUCCAAAGAAUCAAUCCAGGAGAUAAACCAACAAAUUCUUCUGAAGACAUUAUUGUUACUAUAGAAACAUGUCUACAUCCAGAGCUUCACUGAGACACACAGCAGCAGGUGUUGAGGAGGAACUCUGCCCUGCACUGCACCCAGUGUGUCCCCAGCCUGGUGCUGCUGGAGCCCAGGACUCCCCCUGGACCUGCCCAGCCCAGGCACAUCACAUCCCAGGGUCACCUGGACCACUAAGGGCAGCAUGCUGCUCCAGAGGAGGCUCCUCUCCACCCACCAUGAAGAAGGUAAAAUUAUGUAAAAUUAUCCAAAAACUGACACAAUUUCAACCAGAGUUAAAUUUUCUUGAAAGGCCCUUUACAGGGUUUAAUAAAGAUUAAAGCAGUAGACUGUCUGAAAAUCUAUUGCCACAACUACAGAAGUUAAUACAGAGUACCUUCUCUACUGAGAUAUUUCAAGAACAUCAAUUUAAAAUGCAAUUGGAAAGAUGAUUUAAGUUCCCUAUGGAUAUUCAGAGAACUUUCUAAGGAGAUCUGCCAUGGAGAAAACCCAUUAACUUUUAUAUCAGACUCUCUAGGAAUCUCCCAUAAAUUGAUUAGCAUUCAAACCAGAAAGUACAUGACUUUGUUUCCUCUGAGGAGUUUAUUUCUAGCCCUCCCCUGCCUCUUAGUCCUAAAAUGCCUUUAGAAACUAAUCUAAAAAGAUACUAAAAAUUGGGUUUCUGCCAAAGUCAUAAUUAAUAGUCAAGCAACCAGACUAACAUACUCGCCUCACUUUU